CAGUAGCCACGGGAAUACAGAGGGUGCAAGCGUUAAUCGGAAUUACUGGGCGUAAAGCGCGCGUAGGUGGUUUGUUAAGUUGGAUGUGAAAUCCCCGGGCUCAACCUGGGAACUGCAUCCAAAACUGGCAAGCUAGAGUAUGGUAGAGGGUGGUGGAAUUUCCUGUGUAGCGGUGAAAUGCGUAGAUAUAGAAAGGAACACCAGUGGCGAAGGCGACCACCUGGACUGAUACUGACACUGAGGUGCGAAAGCGUGGGGAGCAAACAGGAUUAGAUACCCCCGUAGUCCCUGUCUCUUAUAC
RNAcentral lists this ribosomal RNA (301 nucleotides) under uncultured bacterium. RNAcentral's name for it is "partial 16S ribosomal RNA". It matches the Rfam family "Bacterial small subunit ribosomal RNA", at positions 509 to 807 of the family's 1533-position model. The record is from RNAcentral.